Unclassified non-coding RNA from Nomascus leucogenys (northern white-cheeked gibbon), 290 nucleotides. Its record names the gene 7SK. It matches the Rfam family "7SK RNA". From Rfam's summary of the family: 7SK was discovered as an abundant small nuclear RNA in the mid-70s but a possible function has only recently been suggested. Two independent studies have found that 7SK RNA binds the CDK9/cyclin T complex (known as elongation factor P-TEFb). P-TEFb activates transcription by phosphorylating the C-terminal domain of RNA polymerase II. The record is from Ensembl. NCBI's taxonomy places the organism in Eukaryota, Metazoa, Chordata, Mammalia, Primates, Hylobatidae.
GGAUGUGAGGGCGAUCUGGCUGCGACAUCUGUACCCCAUUGAUCGCCAGGGUUGAUUCGGCUGAUCUGGCUGGCUAGGCGGGUGUCCCCUUCCUCCCUCACCGUUCCAUGUGCGUCCCUCCCGAAGCUGCGCGCUCGGUCGAAGAGGACAAACAUCCCCGAUAGAGGAGGAGUGGUCUUCGGUCAAGGGUAUACAAGUAGCUGUGCUCCCCUGCUAGAACCUCCAAACAAGCUCUCAAGAUUAUGGGAAAUGGAUUUCUAUUUGAUAAUAGAAUAGAUAACAAAUCUAAU